GAAGGGGUAGCUCAGUGGGAGAGGGCAUGCUUAGCAUGCACGAGGCCCUGGGUUCAAUCUCCAGCACCUCUG
This 72-nucleotide transfer RNA is filed under the name Camelus bactrianus (Bactrian camel). It matches the Rfam family "tRNA". Rfam says of the family: Transfer RNA (tRNA) molecules are approximately 80 nucleotides in length. Lineage: Eukaryota; Metazoa; Chordata; Mammalia; Artiodactyla; Camelidae. RNAcentral also lists the same sequence under 2 other names. The record is from Rfam by way of RNAcentral.